This 433-nucleotide ribosomal RNA is filed under the name uncultured bacterium. RNAcentral describes it as "partial 16S ribosomal RNA". It matches the Rfam family "Bacterial small subunit ribosomal RNA", at positions 29 to 507 of the family's 1533-position model. The record is from RNAcentral.
AACGAACGCUGGCGGCAUGCCUAACACAUGCAAGUCGAACGAGACCUUCCGGUCUAGUGGCGCACGGGUGCGUAACGCGUGGGAACCUGCCCUCAGGUUCGGAAUAACUCCUCGAAAGGGGUGCUAAUACCGGGUAAUGUUUUCGGACCAAAGAUUUAUCGCCUUUGGAUGGACCUGCGUUGGAUUAGGUAGAUCGUAGGGUAAAAGCUGACCACGGUGCCGUUCCAGAACUGGUCUGAGAGGAUUCUCAGCCAGUCUAUGAUUGAGAUACGCCCCAGGCUCUUACAGAAGGCCGCAGAGGAGAAUCUUAGUCCGUGGCCGAAAGCCUACUAAAGCCAUGGCGCUUAAGUGAUGAGUGCCUUAGCGUUGUAAAGCUCUCUUACCCGGGAUGAUAAUGACAGUACCGGGAGAAUCAGCUCCGGCUAACUACGUG